This 367-nucleotide unclassified non-coding RNA is filed under the name Hevea brasiliensis (rubber tree). Lineage: Eukaryota; Viridiplantae; Streptophyta; Magnoliopsida; Malpighiales; Euphorbiaceae. The record is from RNAcentral.
CUGCCAUUUGCAAUAUCCUAUCAAAGCUACCAGGCUUUACAAUAUAUACCAACAGAGGACCUAUUUCACCCCUAUCUCUCUGCACCUUGUAUAUACCUCCCAAACCCUUCUCAAGAGAGGAACAACACCACUUGAGAGACUCAACUGAUUCUUGCAAUUUCUCCUCCUGCAGAAGCCCGCAUCCCUCUUUAACUUCUAAAAAAAUCUUCAAUUGCUUUGGACUCAAUUCCAAAUCCAAGAAACUUGCGAACUCCACAAUCUCUGCUGCAAUAGCAUUUCUCAUAACAAGCUGAAAACUCUCCACAGCAGACAUCAAAUCCCUCUCUGUUAUUACCUCAUAGGCAUUGUUAGGAGCUCUCAUCACGAA